ACUUGAUAGUACCUUACUACUUGGAUAACAGUGGUAAUUCUAGUGCUAAUACAUGCUUUAAGCCCCGACUUCUGGAAGGGGUGUAUUUAUUAGAUUAAAAACCAAUCGUAGCAAUACGUUUACUGGUGAAUCAUGAUAACUAUUCGAAUCGCAUGGCUCUGCCGGCGAUGGUUCAAUCAAAUUUCUGCCCUAUCAAGUUUCAAUCGUAGUAUAGAGGACUACGAUGCUUACAACGGGUAACGGAGAAUUAGGGUUCGAUUCCGGAGAGGGAGCCUGAGAAACGGCUACCACAUCCAAGGAAGGCAGCAGACGCGCAAAUUACCCAAUCCCGACACGGGGAGGUAGUGACAAUAAAUAACAAUACAGAGCUUUUUAAGUUUUGUAAUUGUAAUGAGAACAAUUUAAACCUCUUAUCGAGAACCAAUUGGAGGGUAAGUCUGGUGCCAGCAGCCGCGGUAAUUCCAGCUCCAAUAGCGUAUAUUAAAGUUGUUGCAGUUAAAAAGCUCGUAGUUGAAUUUUGGACUUGGCUGGGCGGUCUUUGCGAAUGCAUAGCACUUCUCUGGCUGAGUCUUUCCUUCUGGCGAACUAUUGUGCUAUUUAUUUAGUGCGAUAGGGAACCAGGACUUUUACUUUGAAAAAAUUAGAGUGUUUAAAGCAGGCUUACGCUUGAAUACAUUAGCAUGGAAUAAUAAAAUAGGACUUUUGGUUUUAUUUUGUUGGUUUUCGAAACCAAAGUAAUGAUUAAUAGGGAUAGUUGGGGGCAUUACUAUUGAGUCGUCAGAGGUGAAAUUCUUGGAUUGACUCAAGAGUAACUACUGCGAAAGCAUUUGCCAAGGAUGUUUUCAUUAAUCAAGAACGAAAGUUAGGGGAUCGAAGACGAUCAGAUACCGUCGUAGUCUUAACCAUAAACUAUGCCGACUAGCGAUCAGGCAAUGUUCAAUAAUGACUUGCUUGGCAGCUUAUGAGAAAUCAAAGUUUUUAGGUUCCGGGGGGAGUAUGGUCGCAAGGCUGAAACUUAAAGGAAUUGACGGAAGGGCACCACCAGGAGUGGAGCCUGCGGCUUAAUUUGACCCAACACGGGGAAACUCACCAGGUCCAGACAUAGUAAGGAUUGACAGAUUGAGAGCUCUUUCUUGAUUCUAUGGGUGGUGGUGCAUGGCCGUUCUUAGUUGGUGGAGUGAUUUGUCUGGUUAAUUCCGUUAACGAACGAGACCUUAACCUGCUAAAUAGUUGCAUUCACUUUUGUGGAUGAUCA
RNAcentral lists this ribosomal RNA (1255 nucleotides) under metagenome. Its description in RNAcentral is "SSU rRNA". It matches the Rfam family "Eukaryotic small subunit ribosomal RNA", at positions 119 to 1383 of the family's 1831-position model. The record is from RNAcentral.